ACGGACGAGGCCCCUUCGGGGACCGAGUUAGUGGCGAACGGGUGAGUAACGCGUGAGGAGCCUGCCUUUCAGUGGGGGACAACAGUUGGAAACGACUGCUAAUACCGCAUGAAGCAUUUAGGGGGCAUCCCCUGAAUGCCAAAGAUUUAUUGCUGAAAGAUGGCCUCGCGUCUGAUUAGCUAGUUGGAGGGGUAACGGCCCACCAAGGCGACGAUCAGUAGCCGGUCUGAGAGGAUGAACGGCCACAUUGGGACUGAGAUACGGCCCAGACUCCUACGGGAGGCAGCAGUGGGGAAUAUUGGGCAAUGGGGGAAACCCUGACCCAGCAACGCCGCGUGAAGGAAGAAGGCUUUCGGGUUGUAAACUUCUUUUACCAGGGACGAAGAAAGUGACGGUACCUGGAGAAAAAGCCACGGCUAACUACGUGCCAGCAGCCGCGGUAAUACGUAGGUGGCAAGCGUUGUCCGGAUUUACUGGGUGUAAAGGGCGUGUAGGCGGAGAUUCAAGUCAGGAGUGAAAACUAUGGGCUUAACCCAUAAACUGCUUUUGAAACUGAAUCCCUUGAGUAUCGGAGAGGCAGGCGGAAUUCCUAGUGUAGCGGUGAAAUGCGUAGAUAUUAGGAGGAACACC
RNAcentral lists this ribosomal RNA (630 nucleotides) under uncultured bacterium. RNAcentral describes it as "bacterial SSU rRNA". It matches the Rfam family "Bacterial small subunit ribosomal RNA", at positions 66 to 710 of the family's 1533-position model. The record is from RNAcentral.